ACGGCUCAGUAACACGUGGACAACCUACCCUUGGGUCUGGCAUAAUCCUGGGAAACUGGGUAUAAUUCCAGAUAGGUCACAGAUGCUGGAAUGCACUGUGGCCGAAAGCUCCGGCGCCCAAGGAUGGGUCUGCGGCCUAUCAGGGUUGUAGUGGGUGUAACGGACCUACUAGCCUACGACGGGUACGGGUUGUGAGAGCAAGAGCCCGGAGAUGGAUUCUGAGACACGAAUCCAGGCCCUACGGGGUGCAGCAGACGCGAAAACUUUACAAUGCGGGAAACCGUGAUAAGGGAAUCUCGAGUGCCAGCAUAUAAUGUUGGCUGUCCAGAUGCCUAAAAAGCAUCUGUUAGCAAGGGCCGGGCAAGACCGGUGCCAGCCGCCGCGGUAACACCGGCGGCCCGAGUGGUAACCGCUUUUAUUGGGUCUAAAGGGUCUGUAGCCGGCCAAGUAAGUCCCUUGGGAAAUCUGGCAGCUUAACUGUCAGGCGGCUAGGGGAUACUGCUAGGCUUGGGACCGGGAGAGGUGAGAGGUACCUUGGGGGUAGGGGUGAAAUCUUGUGAUCCUCGGGGGACCACCAGUGGCGAAGGCGUCUCACCAGAACGGGUCCGACGGUAAGGGACGAAAGCUAGGGGCACGAACCGGAUUAGAUACCCGGGUAGUCCUAGCCGUAAACGAUGCUCGCUAGGUGUCAGUCACGGUGCGACCGUGAUUGGUGCCGUAGGGAAGCCGUGAAGCGAGCCACCUGGGAAGUAUGGCCGCAAGGCUGAAACUUAAAGGAAUUGGCGGGGGAGCAC
Molecule: ribosomal RNA, 794 nt
Filed under: uncultured Methanosaeta sp.
Lineage: Archaea; Methanobacteriati; Methanobacteriota; Methanomicrobia; Methanotrichales; Methanotrichaceae
Description: bacterial SSU rRNA
Rfam family: Archaeal small subunit ribosomal RNA
Source: RNAcentral